This 328-nucleotide ribosomal RNA is filed under the name uncultured eukaryote. RNAcentral's name for it is "partial 18S ribosomal RNA". It matches the Rfam family "Eukaryotic small subunit ribosomal RNA", at positions 1470 to 1796 of the family's 1831-position model. The record is from RNAcentral.
CCCUUAGACGUUCUGGGCCGCACGCGCGCUACACUGACGGAGCCAGCGAGUAUAAACCUUGGCCGAGAGGUCUGGGAAAUCUUGUGAAACUCCGUCGUGCUGGGGAUAGAGCAUUGUAAUUAUUGCUCUUCAACGAGGAGUUCCUAGUAAGCGCAAGUCAUCAGCUUGCGUUGAUUACGUCCCUGCCCUUUGUACACACCGCCCGUCGCUACUACCGAUUGAAUGGCUUAGUGAGGCUUCCGGAUUGGUUUAGAGAAGGGGGCAACUCCAUCUUGGAACCGAGAAGCUAGUCAAACUUGGUCAUUUAGAGGAAGUAAAAGUCGUAACA